GGAGGGAUGCCGGAGCGGCCGAACGGGACGGUCUUGAAAACCGUUGUGCGCAAGCACCCAGGGUUCGAAUCCCUGUCCCUCCG
This 83-nucleotide transfer RNA is filed under the name Actinomycetota bacterium. Its description in RNAcentral is "tRNA-Ser". It matches the Rfam family "tRNA". Rfam says of the family: Transfer RNA (tRNA) molecules are approximately 80 nucleotides in length. Their secondary structure includes four short double-helical elements and three loops (D, anti-codon, and T loops). Further hydrogen bonds mediate the characteristic L-shaped molecular structure. tRNAs have two regions of fundamental functional importance: the anti-codon, which is responsible for specific mRNA codon recognition, and the 3' end, to which the tRNAs corresponding amino acid is attached (by aminoacyl-tRNA synthetases). tRNAs cope with the degeneracy of the genetic code in two manners: having more than one tRNA (with a specific anti-codon) for a particular amino acid; and 'wobble' base-pairing, i.e. permitting non-standard base-pairing at the 3rd anti-codon position. The record is from RNAcentral. Lineage: Bacteria; Bacillati; Actinomycetota.